Xiphophorus couchianus (Monterrey platyfish) is the source of this 607-nucleotide long non-coding RNA. RefSeq lists it as uncharacterized. The record is from RefSeq and is a predicted model, not a curated record. Lineage: Eukaryota; Metazoa; Chordata; Actinopteri; Cyprinodontiformes; Poeciliidae. The transcript is spliced from 2 exons.
GUAGGGAAGUGGAAGAGCCACACAUUCCUGUUGGACGAUAAACGGAAGUGAAGAGAUGGCUGUUGGAGUUGUUGUUGUCAGUUCUAAUAAAAAUGACAGACUUGAUGAAGGAGAGCAGUUGUUGGUUGAUCUGUGCGACACCGAGGAGCAGCUGGGGAACAUGACUGUGAGGGAACUGAGGGAGAAGAUUAACAACAAGCUGUUACAGGAGUUUCCACCCAAAUCAGGUUGUUAUGCUGGAUCGGUCGAUGAAGUGCACUUUAAGGAACAAAAGCUGGAGGAAGACUCCUUUCUGUCCGACCAUGGAAUACAGCACAUGUCCAUGGUUGAAGUAAAAAUUUCUAGUUCUAUACUAGAGAGUGAUUUUUUGGGAGAUUUGAUCAAUGGAAUAGAAUUUCCUGAGGACAAAAAAGAUAAGAGACGCAGAAGCAAAGAUAUUUUUUUCAAUAUGGAACAGCCAUUAAAUUUUUCUGGGGAACAAGAAAGGCGCGGCUCUUCUAAAGGUUGCUGUUUGUCUUAAACCUGCUUUUGUGCUACAGCACUAACAGGAAUCCAGAUCAGUUGAUGCUUCAAUGAUUUCUAAAGGAAAUCAGCAGAAUACUUAAAA